This 1684-nucleotide small RNA is filed under the name Pongo abelii (Sumatran orangutan). Its description in RNAcentral is "sense intronic". The record is from RNAcentral. Lineage: Eukaryota; Metazoa; Chordata; Mammalia; Primates; Hominidae.
UGUGACUCACCAGCCGCACGCGUGCUGGGCAGGUAGAGGCUGGAGCGGUCAGGGGCAUGCCUGGCUCCUGGUGCCUCUCUGUGGAGAGCACCUCUGUAAGCACCUCUGUGCCUCUCUGAGAGCACCCACAGCCAAAAGCACACAGCUGCCUCCAGGCUGAGGGUGCUUGAUACACCCUUGAAUCCCCUCUUGCAUGAUGCCCCAGCCCAGGAGAGAUAAAAGCAUCAGCACCAUGAGAUUCACCUGCCUCUGGUCAUUAGGGAACAAUGGAGGCCUGUGAUUUGGAGUUAAACUCCAGUGAUCUCUGUGUUGACAACACCAAAGCUAGAGGAAUCCAGUAGGAUGUGGGCAUGGUUUUCCCGGAAGGCUGACUGAGCAGUUCUGCAAAUGUUUGCAAGUACAGGGCGGAAUUUCAUCCAGCCUUGGAACCUUGAGCCAAGACUCAGCAUCAGCAAAGCCAAAAGUUUCGUUUCUUCGACUGUGGGAGUGCUAGUCCCACCCUUUAGAUGGCCAUUCAGUUUUAAGUUCAAUAAGCAUUUUGAUUGAGAAAUACUUUGCUGAGGGGUGAAAAGUCCUUGGCUUUGAAAGACGAAUGAUGAGCAGUUCAGUGGCCCAUGUCACAGUCCAGGCACCUGCCAAAGGUGACUCCCUGGGAGGAGAAUCUUAGUCACAGAGCCAGUGCCUGCUGUAGGAGUGCAGGGCUCCAGAAGUGUGUGUGUGUGUGUGUGUGUGUGUGUGUGUAUGUGUACAUGUGUGUUGGGGGAAGGGAGCAAGGUUGUGGGAGCAUUUCUUAUCUGCUCUUCUCUACAAGAUUUCCUGUGAUUUAAGUCACAUUAAAGUACCCAUAAGCCCAUAAUGCAAAAGAACCCAAAACCAGCCCAGCAGCCAACCAUGGCAGCAAGUAGGUGCUCUGGUCUUUAGAUAGUCAGAAAUGACACUUCUGGGCUCUCAGGCAGUCAGUGGGUUGAGCUCCCCAUUAAAGUUCCUAAUGAAAGUGUUUCCCCCUGCCAAGUCUGGAAUAGUCCUAGUCCCGUGUGUGUGUGUGUGUGUGUGUGUGUGUACGCACAUGCAUAUGCGCGCAUGCAGUGCAGGGUCUGCAUACCUAAAGCAGAUGAAAUUCUGCAGAAUGGCUGCCUCACUAGACAAAGUCAAGAAGACAGACUGAGGAGAGAGAGGUUGAUGUGUCUCCACUACCAAGAGAUAGGCUUCUCUGAGCCAGCGAGACAUCCCAUCCAACAAUAUGAAACUGGCCACAUUUCCUUGAGAUGUCAAUGUUGGAAGUGUAGCUGCAUCUUUAUUCUUCACUGUUAUGAAGUUGGGUGCAACACAGCCUGAGUGGAAUACAAAAACACCACUUGGAAACACAUGAUCUGGAUUUGAAUCGCAGCUCUAUCAUUCACCUGCUAUAGACUUUGAGCAAGACCUCUCUGAGGUUAUUUCUUCACAGUAGGUAGAGAUAAGACCUACUUCAAAGGUUCUUAAAGUUGAACCUACCUGAAUCAAUGAAUGCAAAAAUGUUCACAUUUAAACUGUAAUUUUAAAGCACAAUACAAGUAAAUAGCAUUAAUAUCAUUAAAGAGAUUAACUUAGCACUGUGCAUCACAUGAUUCAUCACGGGCCAUCUGUGAGAUAUCAAAUAGAGAGGUGAAGCCCACAGUAAUAAAAAAUAUUGUCAUAGCUAUAA